This 468-nucleotide ribosomal RNA is filed under the name uncultured bacterium. RNAcentral describes it as "partial 16S ribosomal RNA". It matches the Rfam family "Bacterial small subunit ribosomal RNA", at positions 28 to 507 of the family's 1533-position model. The record is from RNAcentral.
GACGAACGCUGGCGGCGUGCUUAACACAUGCAAGUCGAACGGAAAGGCCCUGCUUUUGUGGGGUGCUCGAGUGGCGAACGGGUGAGUAACACGUGAGUAACCUGCCCUUGACUUUGGGAUAACUUCAGGAAACUGGGGCUAAUACCGGAUAGGAGCUCCUGCUGCAUGGUGGGGGUUGGAAAGUUUCGGCGGUUGGGGAUGGACUCGCGGCUUAUCAGCUUGUUGGUGGGGUAGUGGCUUACCAAGGCUUUGACGGGUAGCCGGCCUGGGAGGGUGACCGGCCACGUUGGGACUGAGAUACGGCCCAGACUCCUACGGGAGGCAGCAGUGGAGAAUAUUGCACAAUGGGCGGAAGCCUGAUGCAGCAACGCCGCGUGCGGGAUGACGGCCUUCGGGUUGUGAACCGCUUUCGCCUGUGACGAAACGUGAGUGACGGUAAUGGGUGAAGAAGCACCGGCUAACUACGUG